RNAcentral lists this ribosomal RNA (496 nucleotides) under Escherichia coli. RNAcentral's name for it is "bacterial SSU rRNA". It matches the Rfam family "Bacterial small subunit ribosomal RNA", at positions 1 to 484 of the family's 1533-position model. The record is from RNAcentral. RNAcentral also lists the same sequence under 1 other name. Lineage: Bacteria; Pseudomonadati; Pseudomonadota; Gammaproteobacteria; Enterobacterales; Enterobacteriaceae.
UUAAAUUGAAGAGUUUGAUCAUGGCUCAGAUUGAACGCUGGCGGCAGGCCUAACACAUGCAAGUCGAACGGUAACAGGAAGCAGCUUGCUGCUUCGCUGACGAGUGGCGGACGGGUGAGUAAUGUCUGGGAAACUGCCUGAUGGAGGGGGAUAACUACUGGAAACGGUAGCUAAUACCGCAUAACGUCGCAAGACCAAAGAGGGGGACCUUCGGGCCUCUUGCCAUCGGAUGUGCCCAGAUGGGAUUAGCUUGUUGGUGGGGUAACGGCUCACCAAGGCGACGAUCCCUAGCUGGUCUGAGAGGAUGACCAGCCACACUGGAACUGAGACACGGUCCAGACUCCUACGGGAGGCAGCAGUGGGGAAUAUUGCACAAUGGGCGCAAGCCUGAUGCAGCCAUGCCGCGUGUAUGAAGAAGGCCUUCGGGUUGUAAAGUACUUUCAGCGGGGAGGAAGGGAGUAAAGUUAAUACCUUUGCUCAUUGACGUUACCCGCAG